RNAcentral lists this ribosomal RNA (848 nucleotides) under Ophiocordyceps sp. RNAcentral describes it as "eukaryotic LSU rRNA". It matches the Rfam family "Eukaryotic large subunit ribosomal RNA", at positions 99 to 950 of the family's 3401-position model. The record is from RNAcentral. Lineage: Eukaryota; Fungi; Ascomycota; Sordariomycetes; Hypocreales; Ophiocordycipitaceae.
CGGCAGCAGCUCAAUUUGAAUCUGGCUCCCCCCUCCGCGGGGGUGGCCCGAGUUGUAAUUUGCAGAGGAUGCCUCUGGCGCGGCGCCUUCCGAGUUCCCUGGAACGGGACGCCAUAGAGGGUGAGAGCCCCGUAUGGUCGGCAUCCAACCAAGCCUCUGUUGAGGCUCCUUCGACGAGUCGAGUAGUUUGGGAAUGCUGCUCAAAAUGGGAGGUAUAUGUCUUCUAAAGCUAAAUAACCGGCCAGAGACCGAUAGCGCACAAGUAGAGUGAUCGAAAGAUGAAAAGCACUUUGAAAAGAGGGUUAAAACAGUACGUGAAAUUGUUGAAAGGGAAGCGCUCGCGACCAGACUCGGGCCCGGCGGAUUAUCCGGCGUUCUUCGCCGGUGCACUCCGCCGGCGCCCGGGCCAGCAUCGGCUCGGCCGCGGGGGAUAAAGGCGGCGGGAACGUAGCCCCUCCGGGGGUGUUAUAGCCCGCCGCGCAAUGCCCCGCGCCGGGCCGAGGACCGCGCCCCAGGGCAAGGAUGCUGGCGUAAUGGUCGCUAGCGACCCGUCUUGAAACACGGACCAAGGAGUCGUCUUCGUAUGCGAGUGUUCGGGUGUCAAACCCCUACGCGCAAUAAAAGUGAACGCGGGUGAGACCCCUUCGCGGGCGCAUCACCGACCGAUUCUGAUGUUCUCGGAUGGAUUCGAGUAAGAGCAUACGGGGCCGGACCCGAAAGAAGGUGAACUAUGCCUGUGUAGGGUGAAGCCAGAGGAAACUCUGGUGGAGGCUCGCAGCGGUUCUGACGUGCAAAUCGAUCGUCAAACAUGGGCAUGGGGGCGAAAGACUAAUCGAACCUUCUAGUAG